AUUGAACGCUGGCGGCAUGCCUUACACAUGCAAGUCGAACGGCAGCGCGGGGGCAACCCUGGCGGCGAGUGGCGAACGGGUGAGUAAUAUAUCGGAACGUACCCAAGAGUGGGGAUAACGUAGCGAAAGUUACGCUAAUACCGCAUACGAUCUAAGGAUGAAAGCAGGGGACCGCAAGGCCUUGUGCUCCUGGAGCGGCCGAUAUCUGAUUAGCUAGUUGGUGGGGUAAAGGCCUACCAAGGCAUCGAUCAGUAGCUGGUCUGAGAGGACGACCAAGCCACACUGGGACUGAGACACGGCCCAGACUCCUACGGGAGGCAGCAGUGGGGAAUUUUGGACAAUGGGGGCAACCCUGAUCCAGCAAUGCCGCGUGAGUGAAGAAGGCCU
RNAcentral lists this ribosomal RNA (387 nucleotides) under uncultured bacterium. Its description in RNAcentral is "bacterial SSU rRNA". It matches the Rfam family "Bacterial small subunit ribosomal RNA", at positions 30 to 417 of the family's 1533-position model. The record is from RNAcentral.